RNAcentral lists this ribosomal RNA (497 nucleotides) under uncultured bacterium. RNAcentral's name for it is "partial 16S ribosomal RNA". It matches the Rfam family "Bacterial small subunit ribosomal RNA", at positions 28 to 507 of the family's 1533-position model. The record is from RNAcentral.
GAUGAACGCUGGCGGCGUGCCUAAUACAUGCAAGUCGAGCGAACAGACGAGGAGCUUGCUCCUCUGACGUUAGCGGCGGACGGGUGAGUAACACGUGGAUAACCUACCUAUAAGACUGGGAUAACUUCGGGAAACCGGAGCUAAUACCGGAUAAUAUAUUGAACCGCAUGGUUCAAUAGUGAAAGACGGUUUUGCUGUCACUUAUAGAUGGAUCCGCGCCGCAUUAGCUAGUUGGUAAGGUAACGGCUUACCAAGGCAACGAUGCGUAGCCGACCUGAGAGGGUGAUCGGCCACACUGGAACUGAGACACGGUCCAGACUCCUACGGGAGGCAGCAGUAGGGAAUCUUCCGCAAUGGGCGAAAGCUUGACGGAGCAACGCCGCGUGAGUGAUGAAGGUCUUCGGAUCGUAAAACUCUGUUAUUAGGGAAGAACAAAUGUGUAGGUAACUAUGCACGUCUUGACGGUACCUAAUCAGAAAGCCACGGCUAACUACGUG